UACGGAGGAUGCAAGCGUUAUCCGGAAUGAUUGGGCGUAAAGCGCGCGCAGGCGGUCCUUUAAGUCUGAUGUGAAAGCCCACGGCUCAACCGUGGAGGGUCAUUGGAAACUGGGGGACUUGAGUGCAGAAGAGGAAAGCGGAAUUCCACGUGUAGCGGUGAAAUGCGUAGAGAUGUGGAGGAACACCAGUGGCGAAGGCGGCUUUCUGGUCUGUAACUGACGCUGAGGCGCGAAAGCGUGGGGAGCAAACAGG
RNAcentral lists this ribosomal RNA (253 nucleotides) under uncultured bacterium. Its description in RNAcentral is "partial 16S ribosomal RNA". It matches the Rfam family "Bacterial small subunit ribosomal RNA", at positions 524 to 776 of the family's 1533-position model. The record is from RNAcentral.